RNAcentral lists this ribosomal RNA (428 nucleotides) under uncultured bacterium. RNAcentral describes it as "bacterial SSU rRNA". It matches the Rfam family "Bacterial small subunit ribosomal RNA", at positions 355 to 775 of the family's 1533-position model. The record is from RNAcentral.
UGGGGAAUCUUGCGCAAUGCGCGAAAGCGUGACGCAGCAACGCCGCGUGGGGGAAGAAGGCCUUCGGGUUGUAAACCCCUUUCAGGGGGGAAGAAGCUUCGGCUGUGAAUAGCAGUCCGGAGUGACGGUACCCCCACAAGAAGCCCCGGCUAACUACGUGCCAGCAGCCGCGGUAAUACGUAGGGGGCCAGCGUUGUCCGGAAUCAUUGGGCGUAAAGCGCGCGUAGGCGGUCGGAUAAGUCCGGUGUGAAAGUCACAGGCUCAACCUGUGAAUGCCGCUGGAAACUGUCUGGCUUGAGUCCGGGAGGGGCGAGUGGAAUUCCUGGUGUAGCGGUGAAAUGCGCAGAUAUCAGGAGGAACACCAAUGGCGAAGGCAGCUCGCUGGAACGGUACUGACGCUGAGGCGCGAAAGCGUGGGGAGCGAACAG